AGCUUCUGUGAAGCAUGGGAGC
RNAcentral lists this non-coding RNA (22 nucleotides) under Arabidopsis thaliana (thale cress). Lineage: Eukaryota; Viridiplantae; Streptophyta; Magnoliopsida; Brassicales; Brassicaceae. The record is from RNAcentral.